RNAcentral lists this ribosomal RNA (301 nucleotides) under uncultured bacterium. RNAcentral's name for it is "partial 16S ribosomal RNA". It matches the Rfam family "Bacterial small subunit ribosomal RNA", at positions 509 to 807 of the family's 1533-position model. The record is from RNAcentral.
CAGCCGCCGCGGGAAUACGAGGGGGGCAAGCGUUGUUCGGAUUUAUUGGGCGUAAAGGGUGCGUAGGCGGUUUGGCAAGUCUUGUGUGAAAUCUAUGGGCUCAACCCAUAGUCUGCAUAAGAAACUGCCGGGCUUGAGUACGGUAGAGGGGGAUGGAAUUCCGCGUGUAGCAGUGAAAUGCGUAGAUAUGCGGAGGAACACCGAUGGCGAAGGCAAUCCCCUGGACCUGUACUGACGCUCAUGCACGAAAGCGUGGGGAGCAAACAGGAUUAGAUACCCCUGUAGUCCCUGUCUCUUAUAC